AGCGAACGUUUGCGGCGGGCUUAACACAUGCAAGUCGAACGGGCUGUUCCUUCGGGGGCGAGUCAGUGGCGCACGGGUGGCGUAACACGUAGGUAAUCAACCCUCCUGGUUGGGGAGUAACACUUCGAAAGGAGUGCUAAUACCCGGUAUGGCGCAGCGGUCUUCGGAUCGCGGCGAGAAAGACCCGCAAGGGUUGCCAGAGGACGAGCCUGCGGCCCAUCAGCUAGUUGGCGAGGUAACGGCUCACCAAGGCGAAGACGGGUAGCUGGUCUGAGAGGAUGAUCAGCCACACUGGAACUGAGACACGGUCCAGACUCCUACGGGAGGGCAGCAGUGGGGAAGUAUUGCGCAAUGGGCGAAAGCCUGACGCAGCCACGCCGCGUGAGUGAUGAAGGCC
Molecule: ribosomal RNA, 397 nt
Filed under: uncultured bacterium
Lineage: Bacteria
Description: bacterial SSU rRNA
Rfam family: Bacterial small subunit ribosomal RNA
Source: RNAcentral